UGGGGAAUAUUGGACAAUGGGGGAAACCCUGAUCCAGCCAUGCCGCGUGAGUGUAGAAGGCCCUCGGGUUGUAAAGCUCUUUUGUCCGGAAAGAAAAGCUUCGGGUUAAUACCCCGGGGUUCUGACGGUACCGGAAGAAUAAGCACCGGCUAACUUCGUGCCAGCAGCCGCGGUAAUACGAAGGGUGCAAGCGUUACUCGGAAUUACUGGGCGUAAAGCGUGCGUAGGUGGUUGUUUAAGUCUGAUGUGAAAGCCCUGGGCUCAACCUGGGAAUGGCAUUGGAAACUGGGCAGCUAGAGUGCGGUAGAGGGUAGUGGAAUUCCCGGUGUAGCAGUGAAAUGCGUAGAGAUCGGGAGGAACAUCUGUGGCGAAGGCGACUGCCUGGACCAGCACUGACACUGAGGCACGAAAGCGUGGGGAGCAAACA
RNAcentral lists this ribosomal RNA (427 nucleotides) under uncultured bacterium. RNAcentral's name for it is "bacterial SSU rRNA". It matches the Rfam family "Bacterial small subunit ribosomal RNA", at positions 355 to 774 of the family's 1533-position model. The record is from RNAcentral.